GACGUAGGGCGCGAGCGUUGUCCGGAUUUAUUGGGCGUAAAGAGCUCGUAGGCGGCUUGUUGCGUCAGCUGUGAAAACCCGCAGCUCAACUGUGGGCUUGCAGCUGAUACGGGCAGGCUUGAGUUCGGGAGAGGGAAGCGGAAUUCCGGGUGUAGCGGUGAAAUGCGUAGAUAUCCGGAGGAACACCGGUGGCGAAGGCGGCUUCCUGGACCGACACUGACGCUGAGGCGCGAAAGCUAGGGGAGCAAACGGG
RNAcentral lists this ribosomal RNA (253 nucleotides) under uncultured bacterium. RNAcentral's name for it is "partial 16S ribosomal RNA". It matches the Rfam family "Bacterial small subunit ribosomal RNA", at positions 524 to 776 of the family's 1533-position model. The record is from RNAcentral.